UAAUUCCUCCCAAUUACCAUAUUUUCGUGUGCUAUACCCACGCCUGCCAAGUGGUCCCGGGAACCCCGGACCCCGAUCGCCUAAUAUUUUUUCGGGCCAUAAAAUACUACCUAAGGAACAAAAGUCACUGCCCCGCCAUGAUCGUUCCUCAUGUUUUGCAUUUUUCGGCUAAAGAACUAGAAUUCCGCCUCAUUACCAUAUUUUUGUGUGCUACUGCCCACGCCUUCCGAGUGAGCCGUCCCCCCGGACUCGGAUCACCUAAAAUAUUUUCGGGCAACCAAAUAGGACCUAAGGAACCAUUGUCACCGCCUCUCCAAGCUUGUUCCUCAUUUUUUUUAUUUCUCGGCCAAAAAACUAGAAAUCCGCCUGAUUUCCAUAUUUUUGUGUGCUAUAGCCCACGUCUUCAAAGUGGUCCCCGGACCCCCGGACCCCGAUCGCCUAAAAUUUUUUCGGGCCAUCUAAUACGACCUAAGGAACCAUAGUAACCACCCACCAUGAUCGUUCCACAUUUUUUGCAUUUUUCGGCCAAACAACUAGAAUUCCGCGCGAUUCCCAUAUUUUCGUGUGCUAUAGCCCACGCCUG
This 583-nucleotide long non-coding RNA is filed under the name Nicotiana tabacum (common tobacco). Its description in RNAcentral is "long non-coding RNA (NTAB_LNC017739)". Lineage: Eukaryota; Viridiplantae; Streptophyta; Magnoliopsida; Solanales; Solanaceae. The record is from RNAcentral.